RNAcentral lists this small RNA (5671 nucleotides) under Rattus norvegicus (Norway rat). RNAcentral's name for it is "SUMO specific peptidase 2, pseudogene 9 (Senp2-ps9)". The record is from RNAcentral. Lineage: Eukaryota; Metazoa; Chordata; Mammalia; Rodentia; Muridae.
UUGUGUUGGGUCGGGGUGGGAUGUGGUUGGGGUGGACACACACUUUCCAUUCCUGUGACACUUGGUUGGCACAAUCUUCCCCAUCAGUGUGAGACCCUGUGAGGCAAAAGACCUCUCACCUGUCCCUACAGCCAUUUCUGACAUUUCCUGCUAACUAGAUAACACAAGAAGGUUUCCACUCCCAGGAUGGAGGGCUCACUCUCCCUAGGACUUUGGGGACCCUUGCUCAUCUCACAGGCCCAAUGAUUUGGGUGGCCCUGCCACCUCCACUCUCUCUUGCCUUUAGACUAAUUGCCAAGUGGAACAGACCCAGAAAACAAAUAGUUUCCACCCACAGACACCCAGGGGAGCAGGCUGGAUGAGUUCACACCCCCCAAAACUUCCACCUGCUCCUCUGUACGAACCCAAUGCUCCAGAGCUCUCUUCUAAAAUAACAUCAAAAGAAUGUACUCCCUUGCUUAACACCCCCAGUUCUAGGUAACAUCUUCAGAGCAUUCCAAAGUGCACAUCUACAGGGGAGUGCAGGGGACACAAAGACUGAACUGCUUGCCUUCCUACCUGGCCUGUUAGCUUGGGUUAAGUUCAAUGUAGGUCAGACAGCAUACCCCUGGGGCACACCGUCCCGUCCCUUUCUCCAGGCCUCUCAAUACUUCCUCAGAAUUUUCCUUCCUUUGGAUCCACUUGUCUGCAGUUCAGGAGUCAGUGCAGGGGCCAAGACUCAGCAGCCUCCCCUAAAGUGAAGCUGACCUUGGGUACCCGCCUUCCCCCACUUCCCAUUUCCUACAAAUCUCCUUAACUUGGUUCCAACCACACCUCACCCCCACCUCAGUCCAAGGCAAGCUCAGAGACACCCUGACUAUUCUGUUCAUAGUCACAUUCCCAGAGCCUGCCACACCUCAGAAGUCAAACAACCACUCACAAAGCAAAGGAAAAAACUACAAUAAAACCAGAACCCAAUUCCCAAAGCUCUGUGAGCCCUGCUUUUUCAGUCUUCAAUAUAGGAGUGCAGAGCUCAGUGUGGAGAACCCAUAGUCCCAGCUCCUUGUGAAGCUGAGGCAGGACGAUCACUGGAGAGAAUAGCCCAGGGAAGAGGGAAGACCUCAUCUUAAAAAGCUAAAUGUUUUCAGCCUAGUACCAGCUUGGUGGGAUAAGGGAGGUGCCCUGUUGACUUGAAUGGAGAGGCAGUAAGACAGUCUUCUAAGGUAACUUUCCAUUAGACCACUGAGGUCACUUAACACAGGAAAAAAUAACACACACUGGGACCCAAACAUGUGCACUGACCUGCUUCCAGUAGGAAAAGGUUGUACCCCUCAUAUCCCAAGUGACUGACUCCCUAGAUAUCUGAAAUGUCUGAGGCUGGUGCUUCCAAGAGUGUGCUCCCGGGCAGUGGUAGGAGGCCAGGGCUAGGAUUUGGACAGGGGGAGGGAAACUGCAAACACAGGCCUGCAUGUGGACUGGUGAAUCCUGACAAAGGCCAGGGAUGCAGUAGACAUUCUGGGACCCCUGACUCCGUUUGAUGGCAGGACCUCUACUCACCACCAUAGGAAGGAAGGAGGCUUGUGUUUGGCCAUCAUCCUAACGUGGUAGGCAGCAGGGUAUGUGUUAAAUUGCUUUGUUUAGGAGAAGGAACUUGGGGUUCCAGAAUGCCUGGGUCGCUCAGUCUGUCUUCCUCAUCUGAGAUGUUGCCAACCUAUUCCCAUAGGCUUAUUUGCAUAGUGUCAUGGUCACUUAACCUGUGUCCUACCCUGGCCCCAACACCAAAACCAGAGAAAUAACACCGGUAAAUAUUAGCCACUUUCAUCUCAUAAUCUGUUCCCUCAUGCUAUUCCUUCUCUGAGACCCUCUGAUCCCUCCUCUCUGUGAUAGGCAGUUGCUGCAGGGACCACCCUACCCCACUGCAUAGUUCUCUGGCCUGGAUACUUAGCUGGAGUUGAAGUUCCCAUGGUUACUACCGGUGCAUAUUUAUUGAACAUGUGGAUGUGCUCAGCACUGUGUGAGGCACUGUCCAUACACCAGCAUCCCCACAAUGUUGCCCUGCCCACUGCUACAUCCUCACAGAUGCAUCAAUGAGUCCUUGGCACACAGAAACAUGCCCAGGUUAUGACUUUCUUCCUGAGGCUGCUGGCUAUAAGAGCUGGCUCCAUCUGGGGAAGCAGACACCAGAAACCCGUGAGAGGGCAGAGGAGAGACAGAUCCAGGCCCUCCAGAGGGAGAGAGGCAAGGGGCUGAGGACUUGAUCAUUUAACUGGCACUACAAGACUCAGGUACUGUACAAACAUUCUCUCCUCACAGGGCUGAGCAGAGGAGUAAGGGUACUAAUAGAGAAGCUGAAGAAGCCAUAGAGGUCAGGCUGCUGGAAAUGCUGGCCCUGAAGCAGAAAGCCCUACCUCCAAGCCUUGCUUCAGUCUGGAGCCACUGACCCAUGCUUUGCCACUGCAGAAAGAACAACAGAGGCUUAGAAUCCCUUCACCUCCAGCCCAGGCCCAUCCUAGGAGGUUCCUGGAUAUGAAGUCAGGCCUCUCCCCUUUGUCAGUGACAAGACAGGCAGACACUUCCAGGAGAGGAAAAGGAAAAGACCCGGAAGUAGCAGCAAUGAGAUGGGCAGGAGGGCAGGCGUUGCACACUAGGGGUGGGGGAGGGUACCAGCACCUUUGAGAUGGAGCGGCCAAGGGCAUGAACCUCGGUGCUGGAUGCUGUUGGCCCCGGAGCUAGAGGGAUGACCUGUGGGAUGACGACUGCAUAGCGACAUGGGCACCUCGAUGCGUUUAAUGAAAGUAAAUAACUAGAGGGGCUUUGUAAAAACUGCCUUUCGGAAGCAGGACAGACGCUUAGCUGCUGAGCCCUGGCAAAUCUUCAGCACCAAACGAAACAAAACACAGCACACGUGCACAGGCCCACUGCCACCACUGGACUGCACUCCCAACACGGGCAAACCAGUGAAAUUUGGAAGUCUGAUUAGUGGGUGGACCCCCUUCAGAGACCCACAGGCUGCCUGCCCUGAAGAGAAGCAGGAAAUUCUGCCCAAGUGGAAGGUUUCUGGGGCUCUCCACAAUUGGAAGGCUCUCAUACUGGCUGGAGACUCCAUAGAAGGCACUGGUCAUCGAUGUUGGUGUUGAGGUCUGCCUUCCAGAGACAGAGGAAGGUGUGUUGUCUGCUGGUGUGUCCUAGGGUUCCAAGGACCAGAGAACAGGACUUUCAAAGAAUGGGUCCAGGGGCAGACAAGGAGAGCCAGUAGACUUAAGUUCAUUUUCACCAAUAUGGAUAAUGUGGGAAUUUUACAGGGGUUAUGCAUGUUUAGCAUAGUACUCUUGGUACAUUGUAGGUUCGGAAGGGCCAGUGUCUAAGCAAAGAAAACUGCACACCUAUUGGUUUUGUGCUGGUUGGUAGGAAACAAAAGGGAUAAUUGGAGUGAACUGUCUGUAGGUACCACUUGUGACCCUGUGGCACAAACGUCCAGUGGCUGCAUGCACAUUGAAAUCACCUGUCUCCACCUGAACACCCUUUACCAGUGCUCUCUAGACAAAGCUGGGAAGCAAUUUACUCUAGGGAAGAAACAGUUCACAUUCCAUUAUUAGAAAAGUUACUUGCUUUUGUAACUUUUGCUACAUAUUUUAUUUGUAUCUAAAUGUCUUAGGCAAUCUAAGAACAAAUGUAAAAGUAAAGAUGCAGUAAAAAGGAAUUGCUUGGUGUUCCUGGCCCCCGUGUGUGAACAAAAGCCUUAAACAAAGACAGCUGUAAACAAAGUCCCAUGGGUUAAGCUUCUUUUCUUCUUCUUUUAGCUUUUUGGUUUUUGACUUUUGUAAUUUUCUUUUUUGAUACUUAACAUGUAUGUGCUCUAAAAAAUAAUUAACAUGGAAAUAGAUUGAGAUGUUGCCUUUAAUGUCUUAUGAUAUUUUCAUGACAAUCCAAGCACAAUGUUAAGAACACUUGUAUUAAAGUUCGUGUGAGCAGAAUAAAAAUUUUAUGAAUGGAUUUUUUUCAACUAUCAAAAAAAAGAAAAGAAAAAUGGGGGCAGGACUUGGGUACAGCUCAGUGAAAGAACCUUUGACCUGGAAGGACUAGAAGGAGAGAAGAAAAAAACAAUUGGUUCAUGGCAGGCAUGGGAGAGCCUCUGCUAUCCCCGAAUCCUGGCUCGGUGCCAGUCUUUCUGGUUUGCUUCCAAAACAGUGAGAAUUAAGUUCAUAGCUGCCCACGUGGGUGCAUGUGAAUUAAUUCUUGGUUGCAUAGUGUAUAAAUUACUUUAAGUUUGCUGUAACUAAAUACUGCAGACAGCCUAAGAGAGGAGAGAUUUAUAUCGCCAUCCCAGUCCCUCAUAGCAGGGUAGGCAUGGCAGAAUGAGUCCAUCUAGUACUAAGGAGACAAGAUGGUGGCUGUUCAGAUGGCAUGGGACAGGAAACCAAUGCCACAAGCCCAAACCAGGAGUGUGUAUAACCUUCAAGGACUUGCCCCUAGUCUUAUUGUCAUUGACAAGCCCCAUACCUCUUAAAAGCUCCAUUGCCUACAAAAUAGAGCCACAGGCUGAGGACUGGGAACUCCAUUCACUGCAGACUCAAAACACAUCCCUGGCCCAGAGAGGGUCAUGCGCAUGCAGUCAGAAGUGCCCAGAGUAUAGCCUCUUCUGUGGUAAUCUGAGCUAUGAGCCCUGCAAAAUCAGAAAUGAGGCCACAUAGAUCUAUAAACCUUACACCAUCAGAAAGGAAAACCACACAGUUCCCACCCAUCAUAAAGCCGAGUAGACAUUCCCAUGUCAAAGAGACAGCAGGGGAGAGCAGCAAGAAGAGACCCGGUGCUGGAAAGAGGAAGACUCAGUGGCUAAGAGAACUUGCUGCUCUGACAGAAAACAGGAGUUCAUCUCCCAGCACCCAUGUUAAGCAAGUCAUGCCCUCUUCGGUUCUCUUCCUGCCUCCAUGGGGACCCAUACACACGAGAUCACAUAUACACAGAGGCAUAGCCACAAAACCUUUAAAGAAAAAGGUUGCAACUCUGGAAUGUAAACACAAGAUUCUACAGUUCCAUAUCUGACAUCCAGGGAUAAGGAGAUAUCUGAGGUGCAAGAGUCUAGGCAUUCAAGCCCCCCUGUUCUGCCAUUUGCACUUAUGGCCUCUCCCAUGAGUUGGCUCUGCUGCAUACCUAGAGCUUUCUCUGGUAGACGUCUCACAUCUCAAGCAGUUUCAAUGUCCAGAGGCUUCUACUACAACCUAGACAUCUUCAUGCAUCAGAGAAUCCAACCCUUCCUCACACUGUGCGGCCCCACAGGAUUUUUUUCAAACCCUGACAUCAGCCUGUGACCCUGUAACUUGUGCCUUCCGCAAACACAUAGAUAAUGGUAAGUUCUACUGCUAACUCAAGAGAUAGCUGGGUCCCCACAGACCAUGGCAGAUGUCCUCCAGGUGCGUGUGAUACUGAACUUGGUAAGCAUCUCCAGAAGGUCAACCAUUCGGCUCUUUAGUUUUGGGAGGGAAGUUAUUUGAUGUGCAUGAGUACACCCAUGCCAGAGGAAGCAUGAGAGAGCCAAAGGGCAACUUUUGGGUAUCGGGUACUGGUUCCCUUCUUCUAAUGUGUGAAUCAAUAGGCUUGGAGUCAGGGGCAGAUACCAAGUCAUCUCACUGACACAUUCUUUUGAAUUUCAAUUCAGGAAUUCUUUUACACAUCUGCAUGAGUGUGUGUGUGU